UACGUAGGGGGCGAGCGUUGUCCGGAUUCAUUGGGCGUAAAGAGCUCGUAGGCGGCUUGGCAAGUCAAGUGUGAAAUCUCCAGGCUUAACCUGGAGUCGCCAUCCGAUACUGCCAUGGCUAGAGUCCGGUAGGGGCCCACGGAACUCCUGGUGUAGCGGUGAAAUGCGCAGAUAUCAGGAAGAACACCGGUGGCGAAGGCGGUGGGCUGGGCCGGUACUGACGCUGAGGAGCGAAAGCGUGGGGAGCGAACAGGAUUAGAAACCCCAGUAGUCC
This 274-nucleotide ribosomal RNA is filed under the name uncultured Acidimicrobiales bacterium. RNAcentral's name for it is "partial 16S ribosomal RNA". It matches the Rfam family "Bacterial small subunit ribosomal RNA", at positions 524 to 796 of the family's 1533-position model. Lineage: Bacteria; Bacillati; Actinomycetota; Acidimicrobiia; Acidimicrobiales. The record is from RNAcentral.